GCCACCUGAAUAAGAAAAUUAACACAAGAGACAUGUUAUGUCAAGUACCACUUGUCUCACCCUCUAUAUGGUACUCAAGCUAAUAUUCCUCUGAAUAUGAUGAAAAUUGUCUCACCCUCGAGAUCUUUCAUGAAAAAAAAAAUCACGACUUAAAGUUUUUUUUGCAUAAGAGUGAAAAAUACAGUGCCUAUACCCGCAAACAAAUGAAAUCAUUAGUCUGUGAUUUGUUGUUUUAACAAUUGUCAGAUCUUGUAGAGCAAAGGCAUUACUGGAGUGAACUUUUUUGUCCUGCUUGACUAUUAGACUAACAAAUGUACAGAGGAUGAUCUACAAUAGGCAAUAAUCCAUGUGCAGAAAAAUACAUGGUAUUUAAGCUAACUUUCAUUGAACCUGGUGAAUCAUGUAUUUGUCUAAGAUAGUGUCUUUUACAUGUAAUAUGCAAUGAACAGUUGGAAAGUUGGAAGUUUCAUUUUUCUCAAAUGACACACAUAUUACGUGUUGCCUGCUUCUCCCCAUAGUACUAUUUCUUAGGCUCACUACAGAGUACUAAAUAACAUCAGCUGUAAAAUGUGGGAAGUAGAUUAGAAUGACAGGAGCUCAUCAAAUGCCUUAUCAAAUAACUAUUUGAUUUGUAGCAUGCUUGUUUCCAAUUCAACCGGACCAUUGAACACAUCAAGCAAUUUAUCCGUGGAGAAGGGAGAUAAUCCUGCAAGACCAUCAGUUGUAUUUUAUAAUGUGAAGACACAUUAAAAUACCAAUGAAGUAGCACUUACCACUCAGGCCUUUUUAGUGUUUAACAUUUAGGGAAAACCGGACCAUUGAACACAUCAAGCAAUUUAUCCGUGGAGAAGGGAGAUAAUCCUGCAAGACCAUCAGUAGUAUUUUAUAAUGUGAAGACACAUCAAAAUACCAAUGAAGUAGCACUCACAACUCAGAUCUUUUUAGUAUUUAACAUUUAGGGAAAGCUAAUAGAGAUAUCGAACAUCUAAUACUUGGCACUGCCUAAACAGGAGCACUCUAUCUUCAUUAAUGAACCUAAAAAUUAUUUAUUUGAUAUUUUGAUUCAGUAUUUACAAAGUUGGAAAAUUAAUUUAAAAUGCUUUGAGCAUUUUAUGAUUAUCCUCAUCAGAAGUUAUGCAAAUCGUUUUAAAAUGCACUCUCACAAUAUGCUGGCAGUUGCUUGUGUGUAUGCACCUAGAGGUUGUUUUAAUGGUUUGGAAAUUUGCACACUUGAAAACUGCUCCAUAGAUAUUGGCAAUGGUGGCCAAGCAAAGAGGUACUUAGGUUGUCUUGAUCAUUUAAAAUCUAUAUCAGAAAUUCGACUUGAUUGAGCCUUGUGGACACCAUGGCUCCCCCUGUUCAGAAAUAUCAACUAAUCAUAAUGAAGUAAUGAUUGCCUACCUAAAGAAUAUGAUGUCCGAGCCAAUAAGGUUCUCCUCAUAGCUGAACAUCCAUAUUUAAAAUUUGGACCUUCUGGAUUAUGAAGGAAACAGGGGUUUGCAUGCUCCUAAGUACCAACUAAUCAUAUGUAUCAAUGAUCACAUACCUAACAGAAAAGGCAUAAAUCACAUAUUGGCAUGAUAUUUUGGGCGUCCCGAUUGCGUGAACACAUAGAGUGCUGCAGCUCAAAGUUGACCUCCCCAAUUGUCUCUGGAACUUAACUGCUAGAAAAAGGCACACAAAAUUGUAGGCAUAAAUAUAUUUUUCUCAACUCUAUCCAACGUCACUAAAAACUAAAGGGCAGCUUGCAUGAACCACAUGCGACUAAACCACACAUAAUAAAGCAUCUUCAUCCAACGGAGGGCACCAAAUCAAUUACCUCUAGAUAAUUGGUGGAGGCAGAUGCCAUGACCGUGAAGAAGUGGACUCCUAGGGUGAGGUUGUUAGCAUGAUGCCGUUCAGUCCUAAUAUGCCACAAAACAAAUAUUUAGCAACAACAGUAAGGAAAUGGAGCACCGUUCUGCUAUAGCACUGCUUAGAAGCAUCUAAACAAAUCUCAAUAUUGUAAAAUUGUUAUGAACUCACAACAUGCAUCUCUGUACACAGCCUACCUGCAAGCAAUUUUUUUGCAUCAUCUUGCAAAUUUAUCCAUAGAUAUAGUUAGCUCAAAAAAAUCAAGUAAUAGGAUUGUGGGCAACACAAAGUAAUCUAGAUGUACUUUGAAUCUUCACCGAACAUUUCAGGUUUGGCCGGCUCGAGCCAUAUAAUUGAAGCAUGACACAUAGGACUUUGUUGCUUAUCAAAUUCAAUUUGAAUAGAGAAGAAGCUCUACUAAUUAAUUAUGAUAGUAACCUUACUUUUAGAUGCAUGGCAAAGCACAACCUUUGUGGAGCUAGAUUCGAGGACAAACAGAGUUUGCGGCUAGAUUGGCAGUGAAGGAAGUACUGUGGCAAGUGACAUCGGUGUUGAAAUAUUGUUCUGGUAUAUACUGAUUAUUGACACCAUACUUCGUCCCAAGCUCCCCAGGUUCUCGGCAAAAAAUGUACAGGGACCGUAUAUUUUCAAGAGUUGGCAAUAUAAGCUAAUAUUUAGGUACCUUUCUGUAUACUACAUAUUAGAUAUAUUGUCUUGAAACAUGCAUGCAUAAAAAGACGCAGAUGCCAUGUUUGGUUUAGCACACAUAGUUUAGUAGUACAGGAUAAAGAAAAUCUGAAAUGUAUUUAGAACUGAAAGUAUAUAUAAGAAGCAAUGACCAUAUUGUUGGAGAUUAUUAAUCCAAGUCCUAUAAAAAACAAAUCUCAAUGAACUUGUGGGGUAGCCUUAGCUGUAGUUGAGGGCAUAAAAGUGAUCGAGAAAACUAUCAAAUACAUGAAGGUUCAUAUGACUGAUGCCAUGAGUUCCACAGGAGCCUGAACCCCUGACUAGCGUUGCUGAUGAACAUCCGGCACGGGUCUGCAUCAACAGUUAAAGCAUCAGCCUGAUUGGUAAGAAGAAAUUCUUCAAACAACACUAAUCCUAUGGCAGACACAUCAGGUUGUGUAAUUUCCUUAUUAAGAAUUCAAUGAAGUCUACUUAACAUUGCUUAGGCCCGAUGUUCAGAUUAGUAAAAAUCAUGUCAAGCAGCUUUGAAUCCGCACUAAUGAUCACAUCCUAAACUGGUCCUAAAAAAUCAGCAGUGGACAUCUACGAUCAUAGUCAUAGGUGCAGUAGUAUUCCUUUAGUGAUUUAACAUGUUUUUGCCAAAAGAUGAGAAUCAUCCAUGUGACCAUGUCUCUGCAACAUAAACAGAUGAAGUAUCAAUGAUCACGAAUUACUCCCUAUGGGAAUUAACAAACACUUUCUUGGCAAAAAAAGCUCUAGUUCUGCAUAUUAAACUGUAGCAUACUGGGCAACAGAAAGCAAUGCAUUGGGUAUUAUUCAUCAUUGACAAUCCACACGACUAUACUAUAGUAAGCUAAAUAGGAGUUGAGCCAAUGAACCAUUUCACUAAAACUAACUAAACCACCAAUUAUAACAAAAUUGUGUUGUCCUCUGUCAAAUUCAAUCCGAUCGACCACUCUCGACUAUUAGUCCUGACUGAAGCGCCUGUUAACAAAUUAACUAAACUACCAUGAUUUGGAAAAACAAAAGUAUCUAAAUCACCAUUGCAAAGCCAAAGGAUAGUAGUAUUGACCCAGUUCCUUGCCAAAUCCAAGUUUGUGUCUGAAGGAGAGGAGAUUCUGCCCACUAACAUGGCCAUCCAGUGGCACGUACUCCACCUAGCACGUUCGCCAAUCCCACCCAAGUUCCAUGAGAGAACUUCAGAGCAGAAAAUUAUCUUGCUGGGUAGCCACUUAGAACACACGCCGAAUUUUCUACAGGGAGCGCGAUCUUCUCCAAAUAUUUUUGCGCCUCGAUGGUAAGUGUGGAGAGGCACAACAGGACGGGCACCAUUGUUGUCAAAGAGUGGAGAGCGUC
This 3897-nucleotide long non-coding RNA is filed under the name Triticum aestivum (bread wheat). RNAcentral describes it as "long non-coding RNA (TAES_LNC008744)". Lineage: Eukaryota; Viridiplantae; Streptophyta; Magnoliopsida; Poales; Poaceae. The record is from RNAcentral.